RNAcentral lists this non-coding RNA (137 nucleotides) under Pragia fontium. RNAcentral's name for it is "MoCo sequence". It matches the Rfam family "Molybdenum/Tungsten riboswitch aptamer (Moco RNA motif)". The record is from RNAcentral. Lineage: Bacteria; Pseudomonadati; Pseudomonadota; Gammaproteobacteria; Enterobacterales; Budviciaceae.
CAAACAAUGAAACUCUGAGCUGCUUCAACCUAAGUCAGUGAAUGAUAUGGUGCUGCAGCCGUGACAUUAAGUCACCAGGGUGUAAGGUAGAAAUGCCUGCACCUCCCGAAUUGGAAAGGUGUUUUAUGGUAUCGCAA